RNAcentral lists this long non-coding RNA (334 nucleotides) under Homo sapiens (human). RNAcentral's name for it is "non-protein coding lnc-PNRC2-5:1". Lineage: Eukaryota; Metazoa; Chordata; Mammalia; Primates; Hominidae. The record is from RNAcentral.
AAAAAAAAACCUUUAAAUUUUUAUUUUUUAUUUUUUAUAGAGAUGAGGUCUUACCAUGUUGGCCAGGCUGGUCUCGAACUCCUGGCCUCAAGCGAUCCUCCCAUCCCAGUCUCCCAAUGCACUAGGAUGACAGAUAUGAGCCACCACACCUGGCCCAUGUUCCCUCUGCUUUAACCUUUACUAGGAAAUGAAUCCCCCUUUUGUUCUCUGUUUCUGCUUUCCCCACCCCUUUUCUGUCUAUAAAACUAAAACCUUCUGCUUGGCUCAUGGGAACACUUAUUACAUUUUACAGAAUGAGGUGUUGCUCUAUUCUAGAAUCACAAAUAAAUGCCAA